UGGCUCACCAAGGCGACGAUGCGUAGCCGACCUGAGAGGGUGAACGGCCACAUUGGGACUGAGACACGGCCCAGACUCCUACGGGAGGCAGCAUG
Molecule: ribosomal RNA, 95 nt
Filed under: uncultured bacterium
Lineage: Bacteria
Description: partial 16S ribosomal RNA
Rfam family: Bacterial small subunit ribosomal RNA
Source: RNAcentral